UGUCCUCCAGACUCCUCUAGCGGAUGAACUUCCACAACACCUUCCAAACUCUUCUAUCGGUCAACCUUCUAUAGCACCUUCUGAAUUCCGCUAUCGAUCGACCUUCUGUCGGAUUCCUCAUGCAACCGGACCUCUCCAACGGAUAGUCUUCAGACAAGCUUCUACAUUAGAUAAAUUUCAGACAGACUUCUCUAGCAAUCGGACUU
This 206-nucleotide long non-coding RNA is filed under the name Elaeis guineensis (African oil palm). RNAcentral describes it as "long non-coding RNA (EGUI_LNC081651)". The record is from RNAcentral. Lineage: Eukaryota; Viridiplantae; Streptophyta; Magnoliopsida; Arecales; Arecaceae.